CUUUUUCUAUUUGCUUAAUUUAUUUUAUUAUAUCAUCUAAUGUAUUGAAUUGAUAAUAAGGUUAUUAAAAGAAUAGUAAUUGCUCUUUUCCAUUUUCCUUUUUUUGGUUUAAAGUGACUCUUAAUACGCUGGUGGACUCAUGGGCAUAAUGUAUAUACUUCCGGAUCGCCAGCUGAAACGCAUAGAGCGAUCACAACGAAAAAUGAAAACACGUUACCGAGAUAUUACUCGAAAACGAGGCUUGAGACGCACGAAAUCGAGGCUUGAAGCACCAAGUUCUAUUUUUGCCUGGACGCAUUGUGCCACCGUUCCCAAUUCGCUGUAGGCAGUCCGGGACGGCGUUAAAAUGGGUAUUUAAACACAGAGAAGAAGGAGAUCAACUAGCGACACUACCAGAUGUCCCUGAGGAAGUCCUAACUUAGGGCAAAAUGCGUAGGGCUGGAAAUCUACAUAGUGACUCAUUUAUUGUGACUUUUUGUCCAUUUUAUUGUUUUUCUUUGGAUUGCUUGCUGUUAUCAUCCUGUUUCUGUUCCGGAGGAAUUCCUUUUUUUUCUCUGGUUGUGGAAGAACAACACUUUGAUCCGCAAGAAAAUUUUAUCUUUGCUGUAAGUGCCCUACAGUUAAGGGUGUUUUUAUUUUGAAAUUGGUACACUAUGUUUGUAUUUCUUCCUCUCUUCCCUAUGUACAUAUGAGAUAAGAGAGAAGAAUCAAAGGCUACAUCGCUUAAAGAAACCCAUAAGAGCCUAUAAUCAAGUUAUGUCUUGUUAGUGCAAAUAAUGCCACCAACGCACAAUAGAG
Molecule: non-coding RNA, 798 nt
Organism: Pelobates cultripes (western spadefoot toad)
Lineage: Eukaryota; Metazoa; Chordata; Amphibia; Anura; Pelobatidae
Source: the annotation of a GenBank genome assembly